RNAcentral lists this transfer RNA (72 nucleotides) under Candidatus Kaiserbacteria bacterium RIFCSPHIGHO2_01_FULL_53_31. RNAcentral's name for it is "tRNA-Arg". It matches the Rfam family "tRNA". Rfam says of the family: Transfer RNA (tRNA) molecules are approximately 80 nucleotides in length. Their secondary structure includes four short double-helical elements and three loops (D, anti-codon, and T loops). Further hydrogen bonds mediate the characteristic L-shaped molecular structure. tRNAs have two regions of fundamental functional importance: the anti-codon, which is responsible for specific mRNA codon recognition, and the 3' end, to which the tRNAs corresponding amino acid is attached (by aminoacyl-tRNA synthetases). tRNAs cope with the degeneracy of the genetic code in two manners: having more than one tRNA (with a specific anti-codon) for a particular amino acid; and 'wobble' base-pairing, i.e. permitting non-standard base-pairing at the 3rd anti-codon position. The record is from RNAcentral. Lineage: Bacteria; Candidatus Kaiseribacteriota. RNAcentral also lists the same sequence under 2 other names.
GCUCCCGUCGUUCAAUGGAUAGGACAUCAGCUUGCGGAGCUGACGAUGUCAGUUCGAUUCUGGCCGGGAGCA